Non-coding RNA from Nicotiana tabacum (common tobacco), 2091 nucleotides. Lineage: Eukaryota; Viridiplantae; Streptophyta; Magnoliopsida; Solanales; Solanaceae. The record is from RefSeq and is a predicted model, not a curated record.
AUUUUAUACACUUUCGGCUACCGAAUGUAAAUAGUUUUUGGCGCGGGCUAAAAGUUAUAAUACCCUUGGCUCUUCUUUUUGAUAGUAUAUGCUCCAUUCAUCAUACCUGGUUUUUGCCCAUAGUGAACAUAAACUCUUUGGGAAAAGAAAAGGGUAGUCACUGUGUAUGCAUGGAAUGCAAGAUGUUGUAAUUAGAGAAAGGCAAAUGACCUAACACAUGUUUCAUGUUUCCUAGCAAGGUUUUGAUAAUAUAAAAAUAUCUCAUGCAAUUCGUGGUCGUAAGUGAAAACUUAGUGAAAGACUGGUUUUUUCUUGUCAACUAUGAAUUCAUCAGGUUUCACUAUGGUCUUAAAUAUUAUGACUAAUUAGUAUGAUAGCAAGCUAUUAGAAAGAGACCUAAACCAAUUGGACUGCCAUUUCUUCCUCAAGCCAAGAUACAGAGAGGUCCCUAAACCAAUUGGAUUGCCAUUUCUUCCUCAAGCCAAGAUACAGAGAGGUCCCUAAACCAAUUAGAUUGCCAUUUCUUCUUUAAGCCAAGAUACAGAGAGGUUUCACUCUGAGCUCAGAGAUCAUGACAAGUUUGGAUAUUAGCAAGGUACUCCCUACAGUACUGGAGAGCGCUAGACCUAUUAGAUUGCCAAGUCUUCCUCUAGCCAAGAUACAAAACGAUUAUGAAAUUCCACGACACCCAAAAGGAAACCAGUUAUUUAAGAAGCGAUCUUCCUAACACAUGUUUGAUGCCUCCUAACAAUAAUUUGAUGGUCAUAAUAACAUAUCUCAUCCAAUUUGUGGUUUCUUAAGUGGAAAUUUAACGAAAGGGUGGACCUCCAUGGCUUUGGUCUUGUGGUAAGAGCGCUGUGUAUGAUGUAUGGGUUAGGCGCACAUCAUGGGUUCAAACCCUGCCAUAGACAAAAACCCAUUAUUUAAGUGGAGAAGAGUAGAGAGGUGGCCCAUUAUCUACUGAGUUUCGAACCAUGUGCUAUUGGCCCUCAGAGAUUUCCCGGUUAUAUAUAAAUGCAAAUCCUUAAUGAAAGGGUGGUGUUCUCUUGUGAAUUCAUUAGGUUUCACUCUGAGCUUAGAGAUUAUGACAAGUUAGAAUUUUAUCAAGCUAUUUUUUUUUAGAAGGAAAUUUUUUAUCAAGCUAUUUUUGGACACCAAAAUUUGCAUUUAGCAUAUAAAUCUAGUGAACUAGUUUUCAGUGACAGCUAGGAUAUGAAAGUAAGAUUUACUCAUUGCCAUGGGCAGUACACAGAUUUUUAGACCAUAAAAAAGGAUUAAAUAUGAAUGAUACCAAGUAUUUUGAACAUUACAGAUGUUGCAUCUUUUAACAGAUUCAGUGUGUUUAGAUAUAAAUAGCGAGAUUAUAUGCGUUGUGGAAGUGUAGAUAGUAACGUAUUAAAGUCACUUGUUCUUGAAAAUAUAUUUUGGAACUAUACCUUGAUGUGUUCUACAGUUACCAUCUCUUUGACCUGUUAACAUUUUACGAACAUCAUUACAAUUUUUAAUUACUGGGGGGACUCUACUUUGUUAACAUGCAUAUGUUUGUUAGACCCUAUUGAGUAUACAUGUACUGGAGCUACAUCCUAAACCUGCUCAAUUGCAACUCUUAUUGCAUAAGACACAAUUCUUUUACUCUAUCCACUCAAUGCAGGAUAGUUCAGCCAAUUACCCUCUCUAUUGCCAGCCCGAAAUAACCAUUCAUGCCACUUUUACAAGCAGUUAGAAGAAUUUCUUGAACAGGUAAGAACUUCAAAACUGGGCAAUUUUGUUUUUUCUUGGUCCUGGCUGAUGAAAUUUGUUGCCAUGUGGAGCCUGAAAAUCCUGUUAGUAACGAGGACAAGUAUUAGGAACAUGAAAUAGGAGAAGUUCAAUAGACCUGUCUUAUAGAUGACUCCAUAUUUUCUUGUUAUGCAAAUUCGAUAACAUAGGUAGGAAGGACCAAACAACCAUAGCUGCUUCUGGGCAUUUUAAGUACUUUAGGGUCUUCAACACAUUUCCAACUCUUCUUGUACAUAGAGAAAUAGAAUGUAAAAAUCAUUUUGGAUAGUGCAAUUCAAAGAAAAUCUAUGUUUAUUAUAUUCCUUGCUCUGA